This 478-nucleotide long non-coding RNA is filed under the name Pan troglodytes (chimpanzee). Its description in RNAcentral is "long non-coding RNA NONPTRT014027". The record is from RNAcentral. Lineage: Eukaryota; Metazoa; Chordata; Mammalia; Primates; Hominidae.
GGGACAAGCAUCCUGGGCAGAAGCCAUUGAAAUACAAACAGCCAAGAGGCCGGUAGACUUCUCUUUAGAAGCCUGAAAUGGAGACUGAGAUAGAUUAACCAUAGAAGCCUGAAAUCUAGGAAAGAAUGACGUCACAAAGCCCAGGGUAGAGAUUGUUGUGAAGGGAACAUGGUCACCAGAAUUAAAAUGCCACAAAAAAAGCACUGAAAAAAAGUAAUUGUUGACCUUGCUGAGGAGAAUUUCAAUGGAGUAGCUGUGGGAGAAAGCUCAUUACACAGUUCCCAGAAAAUUGGAGCAAGUGUGGAGGACGGGGGCAGUUAGAUUCAUCAUGAAAAAAGAUUUUGUUUUUUGGAUCCCUUUGCAAACAACAGAACAAGGACAUGGAGAAUGCUGGCAAGCAUGAUGGACAACAAAGAAAGAAGUGAAGAUGAAAGGGAAUGAAUAGCAGUCCUAUAAGGGGAGGGAGGAGAACCUGGAC